CAGCCGCCGCGGUAAUACGAAGGGGGCUAGCGUUGCUCGGAAUGACUGGGCGUAAAGGGCGCGUAGGCGGCGAUCAAAGUCAGGCGUGAAAUUCCUGGGCUCAACCUGGGGGCUGCGCUUGAUACUUGGUUGCUUGAGUGGGGAAGAGGGUCGUGGAAUUCCCAGUGUAGAGGUGAAGUUCGUAGAUAUUGGGAAGAACACCGGUGGCGAAGGCGGCGACCUGGUCCUUGACUGACGCUGAGGCGCGAAAGCGUGGGGAGCAAACAGGAUUAGAUACCCCAGUAGUCCCUGUCUCUUAUAC
RNAcentral lists this ribosomal RNA (301 nucleotides) under uncultured bacterium. RNAcentral describes it as "partial 16S ribosomal RNA". It matches the Rfam family "Bacterial small subunit ribosomal RNA", at positions 509 to 807 of the family's 1533-position model. The record is from RNAcentral.